This 450-nucleotide long non-coding RNA is filed under the name Eucalyptus grandis. RNAcentral's name for it is "long non-coding RNA (EGRA_LNC007659)". Lineage: Eukaryota; Viridiplantae; Streptophyta; Magnoliopsida; Myrtales; Myrtaceae. The record is from RNAcentral.
CCUCAAAGCGGGCCGAGCAUCCGGGCUCGGGAAGGCGGCCAAAACGGGCCAAACAUGGGCUGCCAUACCCAUUUUCUGGGUUGCUGAUCGGGGCCGAGAGGGAGCAGAUCCGGCGCCGGUUCGGGCGGCCAAGGGCGGCGGAGGCAAGGCGAAGCUCCGACAGGCUAAGGCGGGGGCGCACGGCGGCUCACGGUGGCUGAUUCGUGACCUAGGCUGGUCGGACAGCCUCCCAAACGUGAAGACGAGCGAGGACGACGGCGAACGUGGGAAGAGCAGCGGCGCGACGGCAGCGAGCGGCGAGCUCCGGUGACGGGUGACGAGCGGCGAAGGAGGCGGACGGCGAGGGGCUGCUUCGGCUUCUUCCUCUGCAAUUUUUCUGGUCUUCGCACACCAACCAUGGAGGAAUCGCACGGGAGAGGAAGAAGAGAGGGAGGAGAGAGAAGAAGGGAG